RNAcentral lists this ribosomal RNA (207 nucleotides) under uncultured bacterium. RNAcentral's name for it is "partial 16S ribosomal RNA". It matches the Rfam family "Bacterial small subunit ribosomal RNA", at positions 568 to 774 of the family's 1533-position model. The record is from RNAcentral.
UGCGUAGGCGGUCAGGUAAGUCUAAAGUGAAAGCUCCGGGCUUAACCCGGAAAUGGCUUUGGAUACUAUCUGGCUAGAGGGCCGGAGAGGGGACUGGAAUUCUCGGUGUAGCAGUGAAAUGCGUAGAUAUCGAGAGGAACACCAGUGGCGAAAGCGAGUCCCUGGACGGCAUCUGACGCUGAGGCACGAAAGCCAGGGUAGCAAACG